This 89-nucleotide ribosomal RNA is filed under the name Chryseobacterium koreense. The record is from RNAcentral. Lineage: Bacteria; Pseudomonadati; Bacteroidota; Flavobacteriia; Flavobacteriales; Weeksellaceae.
GGCUCACCCGUUCCCAUUCCGAACACGGAAGUUAAGCCCUCCAGCGCCGAUGGUACUGCGACAAGCGGGAGAGUAGGCCGCCGCCAGUU